UGGGGAAUAUUGCACAAUGGGCGAAAGCCUUACCCAGCAACGCCGCGUGAGGGAAGAAGGUUUUCGGAUUGUAAACCUCUGUCCUGGGGGACGAAGGAAGUGACGGUACCCCGGGAGGAAGCCCCGGCUAACUACGUGCCAGCAGCCGCGGUAAUACGUAGGGGGCGAGCGUUGUCCGGAAUUAUUGGGCGUAAAGGGCGCGUAGACGGCCGAGUAAGUUAUAGGUGAAAGCCCAUCUUUCAAGGAUGGAAUUGCCUGUAAUACUGCCUGGCUUGAGUGCAGGAGAGGGAAGCGGAAUUCCUAGUGUAGCGGUGAAAUGCGUAGAUAUUAGGAGGAACACCAGUGGCGAAGGCGGCUUUCUGGCACAUAACUGACACUGAGGAGCGAAAGCGUGGGUAGCAAACAGGAUUAGAUACC
Molecule: ribosomal RNA, 417 nt
Filed under: uncultured bacterium
Lineage: Bacteria
Description: bacterial SSU rRNA
Rfam family: Bacterial small subunit ribosomal RNA
Source: RNAcentral